This 565-nucleotide unclassified non-coding RNA is filed under the name Hevea brasiliensis (rubber tree). Lineage: Eukaryota; Viridiplantae; Streptophyta; Magnoliopsida; Malpighiales; Euphorbiaceae. The record is from RNAcentral.
AGGAGGAUAUGAUCGUCACAUCACUAUUUUUUCACCGGAGGGCCGUCUUUUUCAAGUGGGUAUGUGUUUUGCCAACAUUCGUAAAUAUCAUCCAUUUCCAUUGAUAUUUCGGUUUGAUCGUUAUAAUCCUCAUUACGAUAUCUCUUCAGCUGAAUUGCUUAUGUUGCUCCUCUGAAGUUGAAAUUAUUGGUUGAUGGAUCUCAUAGCUUAACUCUGUUGAUCCUUGUCAAUGAAAUAUAGAGGUUAAAAAAUUUACGAAUUUAUUUUCAUUUUAUUAUUUGAGGUAAUUUUGCUGCCGAGUUAUGACUGAUAUGCAAUAUUAGUGUAAGUCUUCCCUGUUCUGAGUAUUUUUUUUUUAAAUUAGAAGUAGAUUGAUCUAAGGCUGUUUUUGAUGUAAAUAUAUUCCUUUUUCCAGCAUUUUCUCAGUUCUGCUUAUAGAGUAUUUAAUAGCUACUUUGCUUCCUCCCCCCUACCACCCUAGCAUGCUUAAUAGGUGGUAUUUAUUUGCUCUAAUGGGUCUGGUUUUCCAACUGAACAUACAGAGUAUGCUUUUAAGGCUGUUAAG